AUCGAUGAAGAACGCAGCGAAAUGCGAUAAGUAAUGUGAAUUGCAGAAUUCAGUGAAUCAUCGAAUCUUUGAACGCACCUUGCGCCCCUUGGCUAUUCCGAGGGGCAUGCCUGUUUGAGUAUCAUGAACACCUCAACUCUCAUGGUUUGCCAUGAUGAGUUGGACUCUGGGGGUUUUUGCUGGCCUGUGGUCGGCUCCUCUCAAAUUAAUCAGCCUCCCAGUGUUUGGUGGCAUCACGGGUGUGAUAAAUAUCUACGCUCGCUGUUGUCUGCCAGGUAACCUUUGGUCACAAAGGUUUGCUGGAGCUCACAGAUGUCUCUCCUCAGCGAGGACAGCUUUUUAACGUUCGAUCUCAAAUCAGGUAGGACUACCCGCUGAACUUAA
Molecule: ribosomal RNA, 384 nt
Filed under: uncultured Thelephora
Lineage: Eukaryota; Fungi; Basidiomycota; Agaricomycetes; Thelephorales; Thelephoraceae
Description: eukaryotic LSU rRNA
Rfam family: 5.8S ribosomal RNA (bases 1-124)
Source: RNAcentral